Molecule: ribosomal RNA, 491 nt
Filed under: uncultured bacterium
Lineage: Bacteria
Description: bacterial SSU rRNA
Rfam family: Bacterial small subunit ribosomal RNA
Source: RNAcentral
GAUGAACGCUAGCGGCAGGCUUAACACAUGCAAGUCGAGGGGUAGAUUACUUCGGUAAUUGAGACCGGCGCACGGGUGCGUAACGCGUAUACAAUCUACCUUUUACAGAGGGAUAGCCCCAGAGAAAUUUGGAUUAAUACCUCAUAGUAUUUUCGAAUCGCAUGAUUUGAUUAUUAAAGUUCCAACGGUAAAAGAUGAGUAUGCGUCCCAUUAGCUAGAUGGUAAGGUAACGGCUUACCAUGGCUACGAUGGGUAGGGGUCCUGAGAGGGAGAUCCCCCACACUGGUACUGAGACACGGACCAGACUCCUACGGGAGGCAGCAGUGAGGAAUAUUGGACAAUGGGCGCAAGCCUGAUCCAGCCAUGCCGCGUGCAGGAAGAAGGUCCUAUGGAUUGUAAACUGCUUUUAUACAGGAAGAAACACCUCUACGUGUAGAGACUUGACGGUACUGUAUGAAUAAGGACCGGCUAACUCCGUGGCCAGCAGCCGC